Manihot esculenta (cassava) is the source of this 720-nucleotide long non-coding RNA. RefSeq lists it as uncharacterized. The transcript has 4 exons. The record is from RefSeq and is a predicted model, not a curated record. Lineage: Eukaryota; Viridiplantae; Streptophyta; Magnoliopsida; Malpighiales; Euphorbiaceae.
AAGGGUCUUACAUGGACUUUUAUCAUCGUGGGUGUUCAACCGUGGACGUAUUUUCAGGGGGCUUAAAUGCUCGAAGGUUUCUGCUUCGUUUUCUCUAACAGCCUUAUCAAUGGAAACGCCUUCUUAAGGGAUGUUGAGAUUUGUCUCGUUAGCGAUGCCCACAAAAAGAUAUUUGCGGAUUCGGAGAUGAUCAUACCGGACACAUGGCAAAUGCCUCUGUUAGAUUCAGGUGGUUCUGUGAACAGGAGGACCUUGGAGACGCAGCAAUGUGAGAACUGAGGAAGAGUGACUUCAGCUGAGUUUCUUGCAGAGGCUCCAUGGCUGACAUAGACUUCCCACUCCAAGUCAGAGAGUGGUUUAUUUGUUGCCAGAUUUGAUGCCUGUGGCUGUAUCCUGUUUCCGCCUGAAUUUCACAUUUUUAAUUAAUUGGUAAGGUAGAGUUGUUCUGGCCAUACUGCUUCAAAUCUGCUGGAUGUUCUGUUUCGUUAAUGGAUGAAUAAUCAGGAGGUAUGAGGCAUUUCUCUAGGGAUUUUUCCUUCAUUUUCUGAACAUUGCCUAUGGUUGUAAAGCCAAAUUUUGUAUGAAAAUAGGUUUAUGUCCUUUUUUUUUUCUUUUUAAAAAAUCCUAGGUUCCUGUUUAAGCUAAUAUGUUGUAUUAGCAACGUAAUUGUUCUAUGACAAUUGUAUACUAGCUGAAAUUGAUGAAAAGGAUUGUAACCGC